RNAcentral lists this ribosomal RNA (424 nucleotides) under Verrucomicrobiota bacterium. Its description in RNAcentral is "Verrucomicrobia bacterium partial 16S ribosomal RNA". It matches the Rfam family "Bacterial small subunit ribosomal RNA", at positions 355 to 776 of the family's 1533-position model. Lineage: Bacteria; Pseudomonadati; Verrucomicrobiota. The record is from RNAcentral.
UGAGGAAUAUUGGUCAAUGGACGCAAGUCUGAACCAGCCAAGUAGCGUGCAGGAUGACGGCCCUAUGGGUUGUAAACUGCUCUUAUAUGGGGAUAAAGUGGGGAACGUGUUCCCUUUUGCAGGUACCAUAUGAAUAAGGACCGGCUAAUUCCGUGCCAGCAGCCGCGGUAAUACGGAAGGUUCGGGCGUUAUCCGGAUUUAUAUGGUUUAAAGGGAGCGUAGGCCGUUUGGUAAGCGUGUUGUGAAAUGUAGGAGCUCAACUUCUAGAUUGCAGCGCGAACUGUCAGACUUGAGUGCGCACAACGUAGGCGGAAUUCAUGGUGUAGCGGUGAAAUGCUUAGAUAUCAUGAAGAACUCCGAUUGCGAAGGCAGCUUACGGGAGCGCAACUGACGCUGAAGCUCGAAGGUGCGGGUAUCGAACAGG